GCCACCCCUCGGCGGUAGGCUGCACCGUAGCAGACUUGUUUGCCGCCCUUUGUGAGCUGUUUUUGAAGCGUUUCCUUCGCCCAGCAGCAGGGCUGGGAAUGAGGGCAGGUGGUCUGUCAUAUAUCUAUAAUAGUUUUUAGGUGGAAGAAACUGAGUCACGGAAGAGGCCUCGGAGGGAGUUUUCGUUCUUAUCUCCAUUCUACAGAUGAGGAAGUAGGGACCCAGAGAGGCAAGGUGAUCUGACUCCCAGUCCAGUGCUCUUCCUACCACAUCCUGCUAGGUGAUAACUAGACAUAGGGUCUCACUUCGUCACCCAGGCAUGAUCACAAGACUCUGU
RNAcentral lists this long non-coding RNA (337 nucleotides) under Homo sapiens (human). Its description in RNAcentral is "HSALNT0354072". The record is from RNAcentral. Lineage: Eukaryota; Metazoa; Chordata; Mammalia; Primates; Hominidae.